Molecule: unclassified non-coding RNA, 222 nt
Filed under: plant metagenome
Description: partial contains small subunit ribosomal RNA and internal transcribed spacer 1
Rfam family: Eukaryotic small subunit ribosomal RNA (bases 1-46)
Source: RNAcentral
AAGUCGUAACAAGGUCUCCGUAGGUGAACCUGCGGAGGGAUCAUUAAACGAAACAAACCCUCCCCUCGGGCUCCGGCCCGGCGGGGGGCCAGUCUCAAACCCUUUGUCGUCCGACUAUGUUGCCUCGGGGGAGACCCUGCCCUCGGGCGGGUGGCACCCCGGUGGACCAAACCAAACUCUUGCGUAACAUGUCGUCUGAGUCGAUUUAAAAAUAAAUCAAAA